UACGUAGGGUGCAAGCGUUAAUCGGAAUUACUGGGCGUAAAGCGUGCGCAGGCGGCCGCGCAAGUCGAGUGUGAAAUCCCCGAGCUUAACUUGGGAAUUGCGCUCGAAACUACGUGGCUGGAGUGUGGCAGAGGAAGGUGGAAUUCCACGUGUAGCGGUGAAAUGCGUAGAGAUGUGGAGGAACACCGAUGGCGAAGGCAGCCUUCUGGGCCAACACUGACGCUCAUGCACGAAAGCGUGGGGAGCAAACAGG
Molecule: ribosomal RNA, 253 nt
Filed under: uncultured bacterium
Lineage: Bacteria
Description: partial 16S ribosomal RNA
Rfam family: Bacterial small subunit ribosomal RNA
Source: RNAcentral